Molecule: ribosomal RNA, 440 nt
Filed under: uncultured bacterium
Lineage: Bacteria
Description: partial 16S ribosomal RNA
Rfam family: Bacterial small subunit ribosomal RNA
Source: RNAcentral
CCUACGGGAGGCUGCAGUGGGGAAUAUUGCACAAUGGGGGGAACCCUGAUGCAGCGACGCCGCGUGAGUGAAGAAGUUUUUCGGUAUGUAAAGCUCUAUCAGCAGGGAAGAAGAUGACGGUACCUGACUAAGAAGCCCCGGCUAACUACGUGCGAGCAGCCGCGGUAAUACGUAGGGGGCAAGCGUUAUCCGGAUUUACUGGGUGUAAAGGGAGCGUAGACGGCAGGGCAAGUCUGGAGUGAAAGCCCGGGGCCCAACCCCGGGACUGCUUGUGAAACUGCCAUGCUAGAGUGCUGGAGAGGUAAGCGGAAUUCCUGGUGUAGCGGUGAAAUGCGUAGAUAUUAGGAGGAACACCAGUGGCGAAGGCGGCUUACUGGACAGUAACUGACGUUGAGGCUCGAAAGCGUGGGGAGCAAACAGGAUUAGAUACCCGGGUAGUC